GGUGGAUGUAGCUCAGUUGGUUAGAGCACCAGAUUGUGGUUCUGGGUGUCGUGGGUUCGAGCCCCAUCUUCCACCC
RNAcentral lists this transfer RNA (76 nucleotides) under Paraprevotella clara. RNAcentral's name for it is "tRNA-His". It matches the Rfam family "tRNA". Rfam says of the family: Transfer RNA (tRNA) molecules are approximately 80 nucleotides in length. Their secondary structure includes four short double-helical elements and three loops (D, anti-codon, and T loops). Lineage: Bacteria; Pseudomonadati; Bacteroidota; Bacteroidia; Bacteroidales; Prevotellaceae. The record is from RNAcentral. RNAcentral also lists the same sequence under 5 other names.